RNAcentral lists this ribosomal RNA (497 nucleotides) under uncultured bacterium. RNAcentral describes it as "partial 16S ribosomal RNA". It matches the Rfam family "Bacterial small subunit ribosomal RNA", at positions 28 to 507 of the family's 1533-position model. The record is from RNAcentral.
GAUGAACGCUGGCGGCGUGCCUAAUACAUGCAAGUCGAGCGAACAGACGAGGAGCUUGCUCCUCUGACGUUAGCGGCGGACGGGUGAGUAACACGUGGAUAACCUACCUAUAAGACUGGGAUAACUUCGGGAAACCGGAGCUAAUACCGGAUAAUAUAUUGAACCGCAUGGUUCAAUAGUGAAAGACGGUUUUGCUGUCACUUAUAGAUGGAUCCGCGCCGCAUUAGCUAGUUGGUAAGGUAACGGCUUACCAAGGCAACGAUGCGUAGCCGACCUGAGAGGGUGAUCGGCCACACUGGAACUGAGGCACGGUCCAGAGUCCAACGGGAGGCAGCAGUGGGGAAUCUUCCGCAAUGGGCGAAAGCCUGACGGAGCAACGCCGCGUGAGUGAUGAAGGUCUUCGGAUCGUAAAACUCUGUUAUGAGGGAAGAACAAAUUUGUAAGUAACUAUGCACGUCUUGACGGUACCUGAUCAGAAAGCCACGGCUAACUACGUG